AAUAGAUACCCCGGUAGUCCACGCCGUAAACGAUGGAUGCUAGCUGUUACGCGUAUCGACCCGUGUAGUAGCGAAGCUAACGCGUUAAGCAUCCCGCCUGGGGAGUACGAACGCAAGUUUAAAACUCAAAGGAAUUGACGGGGGACCCGCACAAGCGGUGGAGCGUGUUCUUUAAUUCGAGGCUAAGCGAAGAACCUUACCAGGGCUUGACAUCCUUGGAAUUUCUCCGAAAGGAGAGAGUACUUUAUUGGACCAAGUGACAGGUGCUGCAUGGCCGUCGUCAGCUCGUGUCGUGAGAUGUUUGGUUAAGUUCAUUAACGAGCGCAACCCUUAUGAAUAGUUGUAUUUUUCUAUUCAGACUGCCCGGUAACGGGGAGAAGGGGGGAUGAUGUCAGGUCAGUAUUGCCCUUACGGCCCUGGGCUAGAAACGCGCUACAAUGGCCGGUACAAUGCGCUGCCAACCCGCGAGGGGAGCAAAUCGCAUCAAAGCCGGUCCCAGUUCGGAUAAGAGGCUGAAACUGCCUCUUGAGGCCGAAUCGCUAGUAAUCGU
Molecule: ribosomal RNA, 550 nt
Filed under: uncultured bacterium
Lineage: Bacteria
Description: bacterial SSU rRNA
Rfam family: Bacterial small subunit ribosomal RNA
Source: RNAcentral